Molecule: ribosomal RNA, 468 nt
Filed under: uncultured bacterium
Lineage: Bacteria
Description: partial 16S ribosomal RNA
Rfam family: Bacterial small subunit ribosomal RNA
Source: RNAcentral
GACGAACGCUGGCGGCGUGCUUAACACAUGCAAGUCGAACGGAAAGGCCCUGCUGUUGUGGGGUGCUCGAGUGGCGAACGGGUGAGUAACACGUGAGUAACCUGCCCUUGACUUUGGGAUAACUUCAGGAAACUGGGGCUAAUACCGGAUAGGAGCUCCUGCUGCAUGGUGGGGGUUGGAAAGUUUCGGCGGGUGGGGAUGGACUCGCGGCUUAUCAGCUUGUUGGUGGGGUAGUGGCUUACCAAGGCUUUGACGGGUAGCCGGCCUGAGAGGGUGACCGGCCACAUUGGGCCUGAGAUACGGCCCAGACUCCUACGGGAGGCAGCAGUGGGGAAUAUUGCACAAUGGGCGGAAGCCUGAUGCAGCAACGCCGCGUGCGGGAUGACGGCCUUCGGGUUGUAAACCGCUUUCGCCUGUGACGAAGCGUGAGUGACGGUAAUGGGUAAAGAAGCACCGGCUAACUACGUG